RNAcentral lists this ribosomal RNA (497 nucleotides) under uncultured bacterium. RNAcentral's name for it is "partial 16S ribosomal RNA". It matches the Rfam family "Bacterial small subunit ribosomal RNA", at positions 28 to 507 of the family's 1533-position model. The record is from RNAcentral.
GAUGAACGCUGGCGGCGUGCCUAAUACAUGCAAGUCGAGCGAACAGAUGAGGCGCUUGCUCCUCUGACGUUAGCGGCGGACGGGUGAGUAACACGUGGAUAACCUACCUAUAAGACUGGGAUAACUUCGGGAAACCGGAGCUAAUACCGGAUAAUAUAUUGAACCGCAUGGUUCAAUAGUGAAAGACGGUUUUGCUGUCACUUAUAGAUGGAUCCGCGCUGCAUUAGCUAGUUGGUAAGGUAACGGCUUACCAAGGCAACGAUGCGUAGCCGACCUGAGAGGGUGAUCGGCCACACUGGAACUGAGACACGGUCCAGACUCCUACGGGAGGCAGCAGUAGGGAAUCUUCCGCAAUGGGCGAAAGCCUGACGGAGCAACGCCGCGUGAGUGAUGAAGGUCUUCGGAUCGUAAAACUCUGUUAUUAGGGAAGAACAAAUGUGUAAGUAACUAUGCACGUCUUGACGGUACCUAAUCAGAAAGCCACGGCUAACUACGUG